UAAGUCAGUCAUAUCACCCUGCAGCCCAAGACUGGUUGCCCACUGAAGCUAAGCAGGGUUGAGCCUGGUCAGUACCUGGAUGGGAGACCUCCUGGGAAAACUAGGUUGCUGCUGGAA
Molecule: ribosomal RNA, 117 nt
Filed under: Sinocyclocheilus grahami
Lineage: Eukaryota; Metazoa; Chordata; Actinopteri; Cypriniformes; Cyprinidae
Source: RNAcentral